RNAcentral lists this unclassified non-coding RNA (253 nucleotides) under uncultured Alphaproteobacteria bacterium. Its description in RNAcentral is "contains 16S-23S intergenic spacer region". It matches the Rfam family "Bacterial small subunit ribosomal RNA", at positions 524 to 776 of the family's 1533-position model. Lineage: Bacteria; Pseudomonadati; Pseudomonadota; Alphaproteobacteria. The record is from RNAcentral.
UACGAAGGGGGCUAGCGUUGUUCGGAAUUACUGGGCGUAAAGGGCGUGUAGGCGGACCCGCCAGUCAGGGGCGAAAUCUCGGGGCUCAACCUCGGAACUGCCUUUGAUACUGCUGGUCUUGAGGACGGGAGAGGGUGGUGGAAUUCCCAGUGUAGAGGUGAAAUUCGUAGAUAUUGGGAAGAACACCGGUGGCGAAGGCGGCGAACUGGACCGUAUCUGACGCUGAGGCGCGAAAGCGUGGGGAGCAAACAGG